RNAcentral lists this ribosomal RNA (274 nucleotides) under uncultured bacterium. RNAcentral describes it as "partial 16S ribosomal RNA". It matches the Rfam family "Bacterial small subunit ribosomal RNA", at positions 523 to 796 of the family's 1533-position model. The record is from RNAcentral.
AUACGGAGGGGGCUAGCGUUGUUCGGAAUUACUGGGCGUAAAGCGCGUGUAGGCGGUUCGACCAGUCAGGCGUGAAAGCCCCGGGCUCAACCCGGGAACUGCGUUUGAAACUGUCGAACUUGAGUCCGGGAGAGGGUAGUGGAACUCCCAGUGUAGAGGUGAAAUGCGUAGAUAGUGGGAAGAACACCAGUGGCGAAGGCGGUCACCUGGACGGGUACUGACGCUGAGGCGCGAAAGCGUGGGGAGCAAACAGGAUUAGAAACCCCAGUAGUCC